This 253-nucleotide ribosomal RNA is filed under the name uncultured bacterium. Its description in RNAcentral is "partial 16S ribosomal RNA". It matches the Rfam family "Bacterial small subunit ribosomal RNA", at positions 524 to 776 of the family's 1533-position model. The record is from RNAcentral.
UACGAAGGGUCCAAGCGUUAUCCGGAUUUAUUGGGUUUAAAGGGUGCGUAGGCGGCUUAUUAAGUCAGUGGUGAAAGCCUGCAGCUUAACUGCAGAACUGCCAUUGAUACUGAUGAGCUUGAGUAUAGUUGAGGUGGGCGGAAUGUGUCAUGUAGCGGUGAAAUGCUUAGAUAUGACACAGAACACCGAUUGCGAAGGCAGCUCGCUAAACUAUAACUGACGCUGAGGCACGAAAGCGUGGGGAGCGAACAGG